ACUAUGGAUCGUUACGUUUAGAUGUAUGCAGAAGCUGUUGCGGUGAAAUAGUUUCUCACUACUAGAAUCUACCAAAAUAAAGCUAUCAAAAGAGUUAAUGAGGAUAAGGUGUUUGUUUCGUUAUCUGUUUAGAUGACCUCACACUUAUCUUGGGUCAGCCUCCAUCCCACCUUGAGGGUGUUCAACUGAAGAGAUUCUCCUGUCCCUGCUGAAGUGUCUUCUCUUUAUCACCACCCAAUGGGCAUUUGGUCUCAGCCAUUAUGGAUCAGAAAGAGCGCACUGCAAUCAACAGGAAAGUUCUCGUUUCAGGAGAGUACAUUGUCAGAUGUCUCAUGACCUACAAUGGCAAGUCAUUCAGAAGUGGACACACUGGUGUGCUUUGGAUCAUUGUCAAGCUGCAGAACCCAAGUUUGCGUCAAGCUUGAGGUCACUAACAGAUGGCCGGACAUUCUUCAGGAUAUUUUGUGAAGCUGCUGUAUGGGUCCACUGAACAUCAAAUAUGGAAGAAACGUCUUUUUGCAACAGCAUGGCUCCCUGUAUGAUGCAUCUUGAAGAAUGCUCAACAACCGUAAGAACAAAGAGAAACUGUGAGUGUGCAUUGCUGCUAGUCUGUGUGCUUGUUGAAAUGUCAAUGAUGAUUUACUGCAGAGGUCAUUUGAGGUGCAUGUUUUAAAGGUACUGUGGGAGACUUUGUAAAGAUUCUCAUUAUGUUUUUGAUGCAACCUGAUUUCAUAUGUUUUUUUCCUGAGGUGAGUCUAGGUAAAUUUUGUGGGUAAAAUACAGCCAUCAAAAUAUCAACCAAAAGCCCUGCACUUUGAAAAUUGUAAUGGGGUUGAAAAGUUCUAUUUUAAAGAAUAUUGAUACAACCAUUCAUCAUUGAUAAAACAAUUUAUUAUAGCAAAUAUAAUGUCAAAAAAAAAAAACUAAAACAUCACAUAAAUUGUGCAAAUUGUUUUUAAACCAGACCUACUGUACAUGGGCUUUCUAAAUAUUUUUGAACAACAAAAAUAUAUCUCAAACUUUUUGUAGGAUAUUUACAGUAAUUAUUUUGUAAUUGUCAUGAUUUAUAUAUAUAUAAAAGUUUAUAUGGAAAACGAGAUACAUUUUUAAAGAACAUUUAUGACUUUAUAAACACUAUUAAUAUACAGAAUGCAUUUGCC
This 1160-nucleotide long non-coding RNA is filed under the name Danio rerio (zebrafish). Its description in RNAcentral is "si:ch211-147m20.3 (si:ch211-147m20.3)". Lineage: Eukaryota; Metazoa; Chordata; Actinopteri; Cypriniformes; Danionidae. The record is from RNAcentral.